UGGGGAAUAUUGCGCAAUGGGCGAAAGCCUGACGCAGCGACGCCGCGUGAGGGACGAAGGCCUUCGGGUUGUAAACCUCUUCAGCAGGGACGAAGCGAAAGUGACGGUACCUGCAGAAAAACGCACCGGCUAACUACGUGCCAGCAGCCGCGGUAAUACGUAGGGUGCAAGCGUUGUCCGGAAUUAUUGGGCGUAAAGAGCUCGUAGGCGGUUUGUCGCGUCUGCUGUGAAAUCCCGAGGCUCAACCUCGGGCCUGCAGUGGGUACGGGCAGACUAGAGUGCGGUAGGGGAGAUUGGAACUCCUGGUGUAGCGGUGGAAUGCGCAGAUAUCAGGAAGAACACCGAUGGCGAAGGCAGAUCUCUGGGCCGUAACUGACGCUGAGGAGCGAAAGCAUGGGGAGCGAACAGGAUUAGAUACCC
This 420-nucleotide ribosomal RNA is filed under the name uncultured bacterium. RNAcentral describes it as "bacterial SSU rRNA". It matches the Rfam family "Bacterial small subunit ribosomal RNA", at positions 355 to 787 of the family's 1533-position model. The record is from RNAcentral.